This 3697-nucleotide small RNA is filed under the name Pongo abelii (Sumatran orangutan). RNAcentral describes it as "retained intron". Lineage: Eukaryota; Metazoa; Chordata; Mammalia; Primates; Hominidae. The record is from RNAcentral.
UGAGUAAAUAUGGAGCCUUCAAAGAAUCAGUAGUUAUUAACUACACUGAACAGUUACUUCGUGGCCUUUCAUAUCUCCAUGAAAACCAAAUCAUUCACAGAGAUGUCAAAGGUGCCAAUUUGCUAAUUGACAGCACUGGUCAGAGACUAAGAAUUGCAGAUUUUGGAGCUGCAGCCAGGUUGGCAUCUAAAGGAACUGGUGCAGGGGAGUUUCAGGGACAAUUACUGGGGACAAUUGCAUUUAUGGCACCUGAGGUGAGAAGCAUCUUUGAAUGUGAUGAAAGAAAAUAUUUUGGAGUUCUGUGUAACAGCAUUAUACUGAAUUAUCUUGCAGGUAUCCAGUAUGUACUUACCAACUAGAAGUCCAUGGCCCUUAAAAUACGGUUUUAAUAAUAUCUUUCAGACCCUUAUUCCCGACCUUUCUUUGCCUUGGCAAUAUUCAAAAAAUAGGUUUUAAUAGAUUUGCUUAAGGGCUGUUACUAAUAAAGGAUUUUGGGGUAAUUUAUAGCAGUUGUUUUGUAAAACUCAAAGUGCCCAUAACAAAUUUUUAAAAAUAUUCUCUCUCUCUUCUAAAAGGAGAUGAGCAUACAGAGGCAGGUCCUGUCUGUAGUGGAAGGAGUUUAAGCAUUGUUCUUCUGACUCAGCCUCUUCUGUCGUGUUCAUAAUGCUUCAUGUUCAUAUGUAGUAAUGAUUUGUUGUCCUCUUGCCACAUAGUUUGCUAAGAGCAAAAUUCUGUGAUGUGACUCUGCUUCAGAAUCUCACAAUUCUCCAAAAUAUUUUUGUGCUACCUGGAAAAUUAAGCUCAUUAAUGAAAUAAAUUAGAUAUUAGGUAGUCCACAGAAUUGCUGUUUGUACCAGUUUUCUCCCUAAAGUAAGAAAGUAGAAUCUAUAACUACAAAAUGGCCUUCUCUUUUUCAAAUGAGUCCUAUUUCCAAAUUAACUCUGAUUUAUUUUAGGUACUAAGAGGUCAACAGUAUGGAAGGAGCUGUGAUGUAUGGAGUGUUGGCUGUGCUAUUAUAGAAAUGGCUUGCGCAAAACCACCAUGGAAUGCAGAAAAACACUCCAAUCAUCUUGCUUUGAUAUUUAAGAUUGCUAGCGCAACUACUGCUCCAUCGAUCCCUUCACAUUUGUCUCCUGGUUUACGAGAUGUGGCUCUUCGUUGUUUAGAACUUCAACCUCAGGACAGACCUCCAUCAAGAGAGCUACUGAAGCAUCCAGUCUUUCGUACUAUGUGGUAGCCAAUUAUGCAGAUCAACUACAAUAGAAACAGGAUGCUCAACAAGACAAAAAAACUUGUGGGGAACCACAUUGAUAUUCUACUGGCCAUGAUGCCACUGAACAGCUAUGAACGAGGCCAGUGGGGAACCCUUACCUAAGUAUGUGGUUGACAAAUCAUGAUCUGUACCUAAGCUCAGUAUGCAAAAGCCCACAACUAGUGCAGAAACUGUAAACCGUGCCUUUCAAAGAACUGGCCCUAGGUGAACAGGAAAACAAUGAAGUUUGCAUGACUAAAUUGCAGAAGCAUAAUUUUAUUUUUUUGGAGCACUUUUUCAGCAAUAUUAGCGGCUGAGGGGCUCAGGAUCUAUUUUAAUAUUUCAAUUAUUCUUCCAUUUCAUAUAGUGAUCACAAGCAGGGGGUUCUGCAAUUCCGUUCAAAUUUUUUGUCACUGGCUAUAAAAUCAGUAUCUGCCUCUUUUAGGUCAGAGUAUGCUAUGAGUAGCAAUACAUACAUAUAUUUUUAAAAGUUGAUACUUCUUUAUGACCCACAGUUGACCUUUAUUUUCUUAAAUACCAGGGCAAUUGUGGCUCAUUGUGCAUUUUACUGUUGGCCCAUUCAUUUCGUUUUUAGAAAUUAUGGUUUUGUAUUUUCAUUUUUAUUUACAUUCAUUUUUGUUUUUUCAGGGAAAGGUGAUCUUUUUUUCAAACCAGAAAAAAAAAGAACUAGAUAUGAAGUAGAGUUCAUUAAAUAUCUUGCUACUGUCAGAGUUUUUAAAAUACAGACUUAAUUUUGUUUUUUUAAAUUGGAAUACAAUAAAGUACUACCUACAUUUGGGUCAGUCACCACUCUUAUUGUGCAGGUUAAGUACAAGUUAACUAAAAAUUAACUGUCCUCUCUGAUGCAACUCACAACCAAGAUCAAGAUUACCUUAAAAUUUAUUUGAAUUUUUUAGAUGUUUUGGUUGUCAAACUGUAGGAAACUUCACAACAUUUAAGUCUUACUCUGUAUGUAACAAUCCAUCAUUCACCUUCACUACUGGUAAUAACAUAUAGCUGCCAUUUUCCUUUUACCAUGCAUCAUCUCUUUACAGUAGGCCUGGCAGAUCACUUUUUAAAAAGAUUAUUCAACUACCAAUCAGUAAUGUUUUUAAACAGUACAUUUGCUUUGAACUUGGAAAAUGUGUUCAGAAAGAAAAAUAGAAUUGAAUUUCAUUUAUACACUAUUUCCUUGGAGUUUGCAGUUACCUAACAGUUUUAGUCUGGAGUUAAAUUCAGAUGCAUGGAAUCCUGAAGGAAAAUGGUAGCUUUUUAAUCUUUGUGUGUGUGUGAGUCUUUUAAAUCAAGUACUGAUUAACUAUCAAAUACAACUUUGAGAUUUUAGUUUUAACUCUUCAGAAGCCAGUGUGAAAUAGAAUUGGUUAUUCUCAAAGACUCAGGAUAAACUAAAUAAGCUAUAUAGAGUACAUUUAAAAUGUACAACACAAAUUGGAAAUAAAAUAAGUUACAAGAUAAGUUUACAGGGAUAUAUUGCUUAUAAUUUUUAAAAGGCAGUUUGUUUUUUAUGUGAAUAUGUUUCUUAGUGAAAUUUUACAUUCCUUUGUUUUGAAGAUUGGCGAUAUUUGAAGAGUUAAAAAUAGUACAGAAAUGUGAAGUUUGGUAGCUCUAAAUGUGUCGUACUUGACUUUCUUUAUUUUGGUUUUUUUUUUUUUUUUUUGAUUACUUAGAAUUUUCACAAUUCUAAUAAGAUUGUUUCCAAGUCUCUCAUGUGCAAGCUUUAAAGGAUGCACUCUUGCCAUUUUAUGUACUGGAAGAUCAUUGGUCAGAUGAAUACUGUGUCUGACAAAAAUGUAAACUGUAUAAACUGAGGAACCUCAGCUAAUCAGUAUUACUUUGUAGAUCACCAUGCCCACCACAUUUCAAACUCAAACUAUCUGUAGAUUUCAAAAUCCAUUGUGUUUGAGUUUGUUUGCAGUUCCCUCAGCUUGCUGGUAAUUGUGGUGUUUUGUUUUUUGUUUUGUUUUCAAUGCAAAUGUGAUGUAAUAUUCUUAUUUUCUUUGGAUCAAAGCUGGACUGGAAAUUGUAUCGUGUAAUUAUUUUUGUGUUCUUAAUGUUAUUUGGUACUCAAGUUGUAAAUAACGUCUACUACUGUUUAUUCCAGUUUCUACUACCUCAGGUGUCUUAUAGAUUUUUCUUCUACCAAAGUUCACUUUCACAAUGAAAUUAUAUUUGCUGUGUGACUAUGAUUCCUAAGAUUUCCAGGGCUUAAGGGCUAACUUCUAUUAGCACCUUACUGUGUAAGCAAAUGUUACAAAAAAAAAAAAAAUCUCUGGGUUAAGAAAAUUUGGCUUAAAUGUAUCCUUUGUUAUUUUAAAUAUAUUGAGAUAUUUUAAUUAAAAUUUUUACCCCAUUGAACCGAUUUUAUAGUAUUUGUACCUAUUUUGGUGUUUUUGUCUUUAUAGUAAAUAAAAGUUUUUGAACAAA